Unclassified non-coding RNA from Gorilla gorilla gorilla (western lowland gorilla), 254 nucleotides. It matches the Rfam family "Metazoan signal recognition particle RNA". Rfam says of the family: The signal recognition particle (SRP) is a universally conserved ribonucleoprotein. It is involved in the co-translational targeting of proteins to membranes. The record is from Ensembl. NCBI's taxonomy places the organism in Eukaryota, Metazoa, Chordata, Mammalia, Primates, Hominidae.
GCCGGGCAUGGUGGCACACGCCUGUAAUCCCAGCUACUUGGGAGGCUGAGGCAGGAGGAUUGCUUGAACCAGUACCCGGGAGGCAGAGGUUGCAGCGAGCCGAGAUCACGUUACUGCACUCCAGGCUGGCAACAGAGUGAGACUCCGUCUCAGCGAGCCUCAGUCUCGCUCUGUCACCGAGGCUGGAAUGCAGUGGCUCGAUCUCGGCUCACUGCAACCUCCACCUCCGGGGUUCAAGCAAUUCUCCUGCCUCA